Molecule: ribosomal RNA, 516 nt
Filed under: Streptococcus suis
Lineage: Bacteria; Bacillati; Bacillota; Bacilli; Lactobacillales; Streptococcaceae
Description: partial 23S ribosomal RNA
Rfam family: Bacterial large subunit ribosomal RNA
Source: RNAcentral
AGGAUGUUAGCUUAGAAGCAGCUAUUCAUUCAAAGAGUGCGUAAUAGCUCACUAGUCGAGUGACCCUGCGCCGAAAAUGUACCGGGGCUAAAACAAUUUACCGAAGCUGUGGAUAACACAUUAGUGUUAUGGUAGGAGAGCGUUCUAUGUGUGAAGAAGGUAUACCGUGAGGAGUGCUGGAACGCAUAGAAGUGAGAAUGCCGGUAUGAGUAGCGAAAGAUGGGUGAGAAUCCCAUCCACCGUAAGACUAAGGUUUCCAGGGGAAGGCUCGUCCGCCCUGGGUUAGUCGGGACCUAAGGAGAGACCGAAGGGUGUAUCCGAUGGACAACAGGUUGAUAUUCCUGUACUAGAGUAUGAAGUGAUGGAGGGACGCAGUAGGCUAACUAAAGCGGGCGAUUGGAAGUGCCCGUCUAAGCAGUGAGGUGUGAUAUGAGUCAAAUGCUUGUAUCUGUAACAUUGAGCUGUGAUGGGGAGCGAAGUUAAGUAGCGAAGUUAGUGACGUCACACUGCCGAGAA